CAGUAACAAGUAGGAGACAAUGGCCCACUUUCACUUUAUUCCUGCUUGAGAGCUCCGGCUCGAGAGUCUGGCUAAGAUUCAAGGACAAAAUAGGGAGUCUGGCUUACAGAAAACAGAGAGAGAAGAUUCCUGCUUGUUUCCUCCCCUCACCGCGUCCUCCAGCACGUUGUUGUUCCGCCCCUGUGCCAACGAAGUUCGGGGCUUCAGAGGUUCUUCUGAGUGCGGUACACGGCCGUUCAUUCUGAUGAGCAGGAAAGGACAAAGCAUAAAAAUUGCUGUUAUUCAUCAUCUGGGAGAGAAGUCCAUAUUUUCAAUUUGUUCAUUUCUCGAUGGACCAUUCUGUAUCUGAUUUAAUAUAACAGCUUGAGAAUGUUAGUUAUUGAUAUCCUCUUCCUCUUUUGGCACCCAACAUUCUCUCCUCAUAACUUCCUUGCUUUAAUUCUUUUUAAACUUCUCGCCUUCCCUUAUUUAUGUGAUCACUUCAUUUUUGGAAUAAAAUAAGGUUUAUCUGAAGCAGCAUAACUUGGUGUUUAACUUCCGUGGGAGUCGGGCACUGAGUUUAACCUCUAGAUACAUUUGGAAGAAGCUUCUGGACAUCAUUAUAGAAGUGUCGGGAAGCCCUCAUUGUUCCUAUACCCCUUCCCACCCCAACUCAUCUGAUUCGAUUGCUAAUGUCUGAAAUUUUAUCCUCUGAAUUUGAUUCCUUUGAUAUUGAAGUGCAGACACUCCUGGGAAGAAUGAGUCACUCACACUUUAUUGUGAAUGAGGCUCAGGGGCUGGGUUAUGAAAAGGGAGAUGGAAUUAAAACCAAGAGAGCUCCGGCGACUGGUGCAGCUGUUCUUGCCACAGAAAGACUGCCAAGUGCGUAGGCGGCUUUGCUCCUCGCUAGCUCUGCAAACUGGAGUCACUUGAUCUCCUUAACCUCGGUGAUCACAGAUGAGAUAUGGAGUAAUAAUGCUUCCUGCUUUACCUGAUAGCAUUAUGUGGAGGCUCAAAUGAGAGUAAAUGGGUCACAAAAAAUUUGCAAACUGUGAAGUGCCAUGCAAAGUAAAGACAUUAAAGGGCAGGACCCAAGGGGAAAAGAAAUGUGGCCAAGGCAUCAUCUACCCACGUCACAACUCAGGUGGAUCCUGGUGCUACUUCAUAAUCACACUCAGAAUUCUGACGAUUAAGAUGACCAGGAUUCAUGUGUUGCCUUCUGGAUAUCAUCGUGCUAAAGACCUCGUGCUCAGGGUGAGGAAGUGCGGCGUGAGCAUUCCUGAUUUCACCACUGCAGUGACUUUCCCUUCCUCAUAUCUGAGGGCUGAGGAACCCAACCUGCUGUUUUGGAAAGAGGCUGGGCAGUUGAAAAAGAAAGAUUGCUUUUACAUCGGGCAGUGUGAAUGGGCUUCUGAAAAGUCUCAGGGCACAAUUCAUGGGCAACCUGUAGGCAGCUGCUAAUGAACACAUUUUAGUCACAAGAUU
RNAcentral lists this long non-coding RNA (1464 nucleotides) under Equus caballus (horse). Its description in RNAcentral is "lncRNA (ENSECAG00000056850.1)". The record is from RNAcentral. Lineage: Eukaryota; Metazoa; Chordata; Mammalia; Perissodactyla; Equidae.